Molecule: transfer RNA, 67 nt
Filed under: Strombidinopsis acuminata
Lineage: Eukaryota; Ciliophora; Spirotrichea; Choreotrichida; Strombidinopsidae
Rfam family: tRNA
About the family: Transfer RNA (tRNA) molecules are approximately 80 nucleotides in length.
Source: RNAcentral
CUUAUAGCUUAGUCGGUAGAGCGUCGCGCUAAUAACGCGAAGGUCGGGGGUUCGAUCCCCCCUGGGA